Molecule: ribosomal RNA, 381 nt
Filed under: uncultured marine Chaetocerotaceae
Lineage: Eukaryota; Bacillariophyta; Thalassiosirophyceae; Chaetocerotales; Chaetocerotaceae
Description: SSU rRNA
Rfam family: Eukaryotic small subunit ribosomal RNA
Source: RNAcentral
AGCUCCAAUAGCGUAUAUUAAAGUUGCUGCAGUUAAAAAGCUCGUAGUUGCAUUUCCGAGGCAAGGGAUUAGUCCGACCUUUGGUGGGUAUUUAAUCCUCUUGCCUCGUCCUUGAGUGGUGCUUCUUGGUAUUAAGUUAUCGAGGCGAUAGCCGCUCAUCGUUUACUGUGAGAAAAUUAGAGUGUUCAAAGCAGGCUUAUGCCGUUGAAUAUAUUAGCAUGGAAUAAUAAGAUAGGACCUCGGUACUAUUUUGUUGUUUUGAGAACCAAGGUAAUGAUGAAUAGGGACAGUUGGGGGUAUUCGUAUUCAGUUGUCAGAGGUGAAAUUCUUAGAUUUACGGAAGACGAACUACUGCGAAAGCAUUUACCAAGGAUGUUUUCA